CCUUAUCCACGACACUCUCCUUUCCAUUUAUUUGGUGAGGGUUUUUUUGCUUUGUUUUGUUUUUUGCAGUAGCAAUGGGAGUGGGUAAGGCAGGUAGAUUAUAUGCUCUUUUGCUUCUCUGAAGUGGCCUUGAAAAAGUUUGAAAAUCACAAUUUGAGGAACACAUCAGGGAGGAAAAUUCACUCUUGCCAGACCUCCUGUGAGGAAUGAAUAGCAAUAGAAAUAGUCAAAUGAUCAGUGUUCUACCUAAAUUUUGUUAAUCUUUUCCCAAGGUAAAGUGCGUACAAUUAUUUUUUACAGGAUGCUUUGCUGAUUUUUCUUUCAAGGACAAAAGAUUUGUAGUCUGAGCAGCUGGAUCACUUCCUCCCACUAUUUUGUCCUUGGAGACAUUUGGCCCAUUAAAAGGAGCCCACGGAUUCCAUUUCAACAGAUGCAUCUCACAUUUAUUCAGGAUAUAAGUGAUAGGGUGACUCAUUGUGCUGCUAAUACAAUUACAGUCUUUGUUGUUUUAGAAUCAUAUCUUGAUUCCAUAUAGGCAAAGAGAUUUAUCAUUAUACCCUGUUGUAAAGAAAGACUAAAAGGACAAUAUAUGUGUAACAUUGUCAGAGAAACUGGAAUGUUCCUACUUGAGAAUAAAAUGAACAGUUUGUCAUUUGAUUCACAGCCUUAGGUGAAUGCACAUAGAAUGUGGGCUUUCUGAAAUUCAGUAUAAAGCCAGGGACUCCUGGGUUUGUAACACUGGAAAACCUAUAAUGAGGUGCUCUGGGUAGCUGGUUGUUGAGAAAUAAAAAAGAGAGAAAGAACUCUUAUUCACUUUCUUAUAUGUUUUGUACAAAUUCUAUCUCUACGUGAGUAAAAUGCAAGUACUGGUAAGUACAGUAUUUGAAUUUUACUUUUGAUCGCUUUUGGACAAACAUGUACAUACAUUUAAAUUCUCCAAAGCAAAUUUUUGAAAAAGCUUUAUUAUUAAGGCAAUUCUGUUUCUCCUUCAACAAUGUCUGUCCCUUCCCUUUCUUUCUUCUACUACUUUUAGCUCCCAGUUUCUGUAGGGGUUCUUGAGGCAGCAGGAAGAGUGAAUACAGCUGCCUACUCUUCCUCAAACUACUUUCCUGGGGCCAAAAGUUUCAUUCAGGAAGUGAAAGAAACAAGUUUGAUGUUCUGGUGAUUUUGUAUUACAAUCCACAGUCCUGGUGCCUGCUUUUAAAAUGAAGUUUUAUCAGUACACUGCUGCACUCAUUCAUUGAUGUAUUGUCCAUAGAUGCCUUCAGGCUACAAGGCAGAGCUGAAUAGAGAGGACUCCAAGGACAUACAGGAGGGAGACAUGGCGAGAUGGAAGGGGCCUGGGUUCCUGAAUGUGAAUGUGGAGCAGAUCUCCUAGCCCCACACUUGCCAUCACCAGCCCAUAUUGCACUGUGAUGAGAUCUUUUGUGCCACUCUUACCAUCACCCCACACUGGACUGUGAUGAGAACAAGCAAACAUUUAUUGUAAGUCACUGAGUUUUGGGGUUGUCUGUGAUAACAGUGAGUCUAGCCUGACGAAUGUACUGGCUGUCAUUCUUCUGUGUAGCAUUGUUAAUUUUUAGUCAUCAUCUUCACAAAUGCAAUCACUUUCAUGACAUUAUAUUUUGCUGUAUUGUAUGAAAUAGAUGACAUGCUAUAAAGGUGUUUAGAAAUGUGAAGAUGUGUGGGCAUAUUCAUUGAAAAUAAAAAGGCUCUUAUGUAGUUCUUCCUCCACAACA
Molecule: long non-coding RNA, 1739 nt
Organism: Orcinus orca (killer whale)
Lineage: Eukaryota; Metazoa; Chordata; Mammalia; Artiodactyla; Delphinidae
Exons: 3
Source: RefSeq, a predicted model, not a curated record